GAUGAACGCUAGCUACAGGCUUAACACAUGCAAGUCGAGGGGAAACGCCAUCGCAAGCUUGCUUUUGAUGGGCGUCGACCGGCGCACGGGUGAGUAACGCGUAUCCAACCUGCCCAUCACUUGGGAAUAACCUUGCGAAAGUAAGACUAAUACCCAAUGAUAUCCCACGAAGGCAUCGGAAUGGGAUUAAAGAUUUAUCGGUGAUGGAUGGGGAUGCGUCUGAUUAGCUUGUUGGCGGGGUAACGGCCCACCAAGGCAACGAUCAGUAGGGGUUCUGAGAGGAAGGUCCCCCACAUUGGAACUGAGACACGGUCCAAACUCCUACGGGAGGCAGCAGUGAGGAAUAUUGGUCAAUGGGCGAGAGCCUGAACCAGCCAAGUAGCGUGCAGGAAGACGGCCCUAUGGGUUGUAAACUGCUUUUAUAAGGGAAUAAAGUGGGUCACGUGUGACUUUUUGCAUGUACCUUAUGAAUAAGAACCGGCUAAUUCCGUG
Molecule: ribosomal RNA, 492 nt
Filed under: uncultured bacterium
Lineage: Bacteria
Description: partial 16S ribosomal RNA
Rfam family: Bacterial small subunit ribosomal RNA
Source: RNAcentral